This 372-nucleotide ribosomal RNA is filed under the name Triticum aestivum (bread wheat). RNAcentral's name for it is "partial small subunit ribosomal RNA". Lineage: Eukaryota; Viridiplantae; Streptophyta; Magnoliopsida; Poales; Poaceae. The record is from RNAcentral.
AUGACGGCCUUAACCUGUCAGACUGGCUUCAGUGUCUGGCAUCAUUCUGGGACCACAUUAAACUUUAACAGCUGCAAGAAGCAUCUUUCCAUGGAGCUUAAAUGCGUUUUCCAGCACAUAGUUAAUCAACUGAAGAAAGGAUUGGGCACUGAGCUUGUUGUACUUGAGGAACUCAUUCAGCAAAUGGCAAAUGUACAGUACACUGAGAACAUGACUGGUGGACAGGUUGAUGCUAUGGCAGGAAGUGAAACAUUGCGGCUUCAAUCUUCGCCGUUUGGAUCAACACGGAACUAUAAGGCCCUGAAUAAUAAGUAUCCUAACAAAUUUCGGGAUUCUUUGCUUCCAAAAGAUUUUGCAAUUCCAAGAUUAUAA